CCGUAGCCCAAGAGAUCGGGAUAGCACCUGGAAACAGAUGCUAAUACCGGAUAACAACAGAUGAUGCCUAUCAACUGUUUAAAAGAUGGUUCUGCUAUCACUCUUGGAUGGACCUGCGGUGCAUUAGCUAGUUGGUAGGGUAACGGCCUACCAAGGCGAUGAUGCAUAGCCGAGUUGAGAGACUGAUCGGCCACAUUGGGACUGAGACACGGCCCAAACUCCUACGGGAGGCAGCAGCC
RNAcentral lists this ribosomal RNA (239 nucleotides) under uncultured Lactobacillus sp. RNAcentral's name for it is "partial 16S ribosomal RNA". It matches the Rfam family "Bacterial small subunit ribosomal RNA", at positions 125 to 355 of the family's 1533-position model. The record is from RNAcentral. Lineage: Bacteria; Bacillati; Bacillota; Bacilli; Lactobacillales; Lactobacillaceae.